UUUGCCAAAAGGAAAGAAAAAGGAGGAACCGACAGCCAUCGGCGUUGCACUGGAAGUUGCGGGCAAGAUUGAAGAAGAGCGCCAGAAAUUAGGAAUACUCCUCCUCCCCGUCUCUCUCUGGAUUCGAAGAAAGAAGCGAAACCCUAAUCCUAAUCUUUGAUCGCGGAGGAAGAGGAGGAGAUGCUGUUCCAGGUGGGAGGGCAGGGGACGCGGCCGACCUUCUUCGAGAUGGCUGCCGCGCAACAGCUCCCUGCCAGCCUCAGGGCCGCCCUCACCUACUCCCUCGGGGUAUUUGCCUUAAGAAGACCAUUCCUUCACAAGGUGUUAGAUUACGAUGAUGAAUUCUUUGCCUUGUUGAUGAUGGUGCUUGAAGCUCACAGUUUACGAACCACAGAUGCUUCUUUCUCAGAGUCCUUAUAUGGUCUGCGAAGGAGAGCAGUGAAGAUUACCCACAAAAAGCAUUCUUCUAAUAUGGAGUCUAAUGAUAAAAUCCAGCAUUCGGGACUGGAGAAGCACCAAAAAGUUAUCUCAGUUGCAUUUCUGGUCAUUUUGCCUUAUAUAAAAUCAAAGCUUCAUUCUAUUUACAACAAAGAAAGGGAAGCAAGGCUUCAAGCAAGUCUUUGGGGCCAUGAUGAUGAUGGAUUGGAUGAGUCAAACUUUCUCCUGGAUCCAGGAGAGAGCUCUCAUUCACAAGUUGAAUCUUUGAGGAUUGAAGGAUCAAGCUUGACACACAUGAAAAAGAGAAUUAUGGCAAUUAUUGCUGCUUGCUACCCUUGGAUUCAUGCAACCAAUGAGGGAUUGUCAUUUGCUUAUCAACUAUUGUAUCUGUUGGAUGCUACUGGCUUUUAUGGUCCAGGUCUUCAUGCACUUGGGGUUCAUGUAUGUCGUGCCACAGGACAAGAACUGAUGGAUUCCUCUUCUAGAAUUUCAAGGAUCAGAAGUCGUGAACUUGAAAGACUGAGGGGCCCUCCGUGGUUGAAGGCAGUUCAGAGAGUUCUGCUUAGCUGCAUAUACACAACACUGGAUUAUGCACAAACUGGUCUAAUUGCUGCAGUAUUUUUUUUCAAGAUGAUGGAGUGGUGGUACCAAUCUGCUGAAGAAAGAAUGUCAGCACCAACCGUGUAUCCCCCACCUCCUCCUCCACCUCCCCCAAAGGUUGCUGAAGAUGGAAUUCCAUUGCCACCGGAAAGGACUUUGUGCCCGCUCUGCUCCCAGAAACGGGUCAAUCCAUCGGUUAUUGCUGUUUCUGGUUUUGUUUUCUGCUAUGCUUGCAUAUUUAAUACAAACGGUGCCCUGUCACAUUGAUGCCGGCAACAGUCGAGCAUAUCAGGAGACUCUUCCAUGAUUUAUAGUUCAAGUAACCGAAGCUUUAUAAAAUUGCAGUGAAGAUCUGAUCGGAUAUGCACCCAAAAUCCGAGAGAAAAAUUACUGUUUCUUUGCUGGACAAAUAAUGGGAGGUCCUCUAGUUUGUGCCUAGCAUGGGUGCCAUCAAAAGAAUUGUAACUGUUUUUUGCCCAGUUCUGUGAUGACAAGCAGCUUCUGAUAGAAGUUCAAUUCAUUAUUUGUUCACAAGCUAUGGAAUUAUUUUCUCUAUUAAGAGAGCUUGGUGGAAAAUCUACCAUCCAUGAGGAACUUUCCUGGUUCCUUCUAGGUCGCACAGGGCUAUCUCGUGGUGUAACCCCUAAUCCAAUUUUCAAAUAGUUGAGUUGAUAGGCCUCUGUACAUCAAAGACUGUUGAUUAGAUCUGCAUCAUGAAAGAAAGUGUUGAAUGUGCAGCAUUCCUCUAUAUGUCAGAAUGGUUAAACAUGUGCCUGUUUGUAUACUUUGUUGUAUGCUGGGGAUGAUGGGGGGUAACUAAAGAUUCUAGUUAAUUGGUGGUUGAUGCAUUGCCUGUCAAUGCUGAAUGAGUUCUGAAUUGGCCAGUAGAACGAUGUUUUCUUAUUGUAUUGAUGCAAUGUAGAAAGCAUGUAUGAUGCGUUGGUGCUAAUUUUGAAAAUUAUCUAGAUGCGAUGCACCUGGGGCACUCUGAUAGAACUUGCAGCUGUAAAGAAAAAAUGUUAACUAGUUUGUAAGCAUCUGAUAAUUUUAUUGAGGGUGGAAGAUCCUUUUUUAGCACAACAUAUUAUUCGAAUCUUAGUCAUGCAAGACAGGUGCUAACGAUCAUUUGAACUUUCUAUAGUCGCAGUCUAAUUGUUAAAAUUAUUCUCAGAAAAAAUGUGUGAGUUGGAAGUAUGCGGAAGUAUAUCAACAGGAAAGAGAGACCGACAGCAACUCAGGAUAGUUGGUCAUCUUAUGGAAACUAGCUUUUGGGUUUGUGCUGGAUGAAGACGUGUUUCGUUAUAUUGCCAUUGGUUUGUGCGGUUGGAUAUGGGAUUGUGAGGGGAAGUAAAUUUUAGUUAGCCCAAUAAUUUCCUACGUAAUUGAUCGACCAGAAGUUCAUGUGAGAUAAAAAGGUACUGAAUGCUUGUGCGGAGAAGGGACUUUUCUCUACUGAUCGAGGCUCGGUGGUUUCCUACUUGUGGAGGCUUCUCCAAGGAUCGGCUAGUGAAAUAUGGCCAUAUAUUUUCAGAUUAAAAUAAAUCCAUGUACUGCUUCGGAAAAUUGGAUGUGUAUGAAGUUGGCUGGUCCGAAGUUACGUCCAUCAAACGCACCCAUUUAUCCAGCCAGGUGACGGAGAGUAAAUAAAUCGAUAUGUCAGUUUGUGCCGGCUGAUACGUCGGUCGGCAAGGGCCCGAUACCGAUAAAAGGAUGAUGGCCGAUAUCUCGUUCGUUUCUUAUAUUAAACCUAUUUGUUUAGCUGCGGCGCCUCCUCUUUUCUCUGGCCGGCGGACCGGAUUGCUUCUUUUUGUGCUCUCUAGAGGGGAGAGGAGGAAUCGAAGAGGGAUGGCCGCGGAAGUGGAGACGGCGGUGGAGGCGGCAGCGAGCGGUGGGGAGGGCGAGGGAGGGCAGAAGGCGCCGCAUCGGCUGGAGCGGAAGUGGACCUUCUGGUUCGACAACCAGUCCAAACCCAAGCAGGGCGCCGCCUGGGGCACCACCCUCCGCAAGGUCUACACCUUCGACACCGUCGAGGAGUUCUGGUGCUUGUAUGAUCAGAUAUUUCGUCCCAGCAAGUUGCCAGGAAAUGCUGAUUUUCACUGUUUCAAAACCGGGAUAGAACCCAAGUGGGAAGAUCCUGAAUGUGCAAAUGGGGGCAAGUGGUCUGUAACAUGUAGUAGAAAGGGCACUCUUGACAACAUGUGGUUAGAAACGUUGAUGGCUUUAAUUGGAGAGCAGUUUGAUGAGAGUGAGGAAAUCUGUGGUGUUGUUGCUAGUGUGCGCCAGAGGCAGGACAAGCUUGCAUUAUGGACCAAAACAGCGACCAAUGAAGCUGUUCAGAUGAGCAUUGGGAAGAAAUGGAAGGAAAUCAUUGACUACAAUGAUAAAAUUGUAUACAGCUUCCACGAUGACUCGAGAAGAGAAAAAUCAAGCAGAGGUGGUCGGUACAGUGUGUGAUUACUGCAGAUGACCUAUCAACAACUGAAAUCUUGGGUGGUUCUCUGCCAGUAUUUUGUGAGUUACGCAAGUACUUGCACUCCUUCGAGAGAGGUGUUUGAACCCUACUGAAAACCUCGUCUGUAUCCGGAUAUUAUAUGUUCUGUGAAUACCAAAGAAAAGUCAGCUGCAACUUUAUGAUA
This is a non-coding RNA of Elaeis guineensis (African oil palm), 3674 nucleotides long. NCBI's taxonomy places the organism in Eukaryota, Viridiplantae, Streptophyta, Magnoliopsida, Arecales, Arecaceae. The record is from RefSeq and is a predicted model, not a curated record.